This 492-nucleotide ribosomal RNA is filed under the name uncultured bacterium. RNAcentral describes it as "partial 16S ribosomal RNA". It matches the Rfam family "Bacterial small subunit ribosomal RNA", at positions 29 to 507 of the family's 1533-position model. The record is from RNAcentral.
AGUGAACGCUGGCGGUAGGCCUAACACAUGCCAGUCGAACGGCAGCACAGUAAGAGCUUGCUCUUACGGGUGGCGAGUGGCGGACGGGUGAGGAAUACAUCGGAAUCUACUUUUUCGUGGGGGAUAACGUAGGGAAACUUACGCUAAUACCGCAUACGACCUACGGGUGAAAGCAGGGGAUCUUCGGACCUUGCGCGAUUGAAUGAGCCGAUGUCGGAUUAGCUAGUUGGCGGGGUAAAGGCCCACCAAGGCGACGAUCCGUAGCUGGUCUGAGAGGAUGAUCAGCCACAAUGGAACUGAGACAACGUCCAGACUCCUACGGGAGGCAGCAGUGGGGAAUAUUGGACAAUGGGGGCAAGCCUGAUCCAGCCAUACCGCGUGGGUGAAGAAGGGCUUCGGGUUGUAAAGCCCUUUUGUUGGGAAAGAAAAGCAGCAGGUUAAUACCCCGCUGUUCUGACGGUACCCAAAGAAUAAGCACCGGCUAACUUCGUG